GACGAACGCUGGCGGCGCGCCUAACACAUGCAAGUCGAACGGAGCUGCGAGAAGCUUGCUUUUCUUAGCUUAGUGGCGCACGGGUGAGUAACGCGUGAGUAACCUGCCCUGGAGUGGGGGACAACAGUUGGAAACGACUGCUAAUACCGCAUAAGCCCACGAUCCGGCAUCGGAUUGAGGGAAAAGGAUUUAUUCGCUUCAGGAUGGACUCGCGUCCACUUAGCUAGUUGGUGAGGUAACGGCCCACCAAGGCGACGAUUGGUAGCCGGACUGAGAGGUUGAACGGCCACAGUGGGACUGAGACACGGACCAGACUCCUACGGGAGGCAGCAGUGGGGGAUAUUGCACAAUGGGGGAAAACCUGAUGCAGCGACGCCGCGUGGAGGAAGAAGGUGGUCGGAUUGUAAACUCCUGUCGUUAGGGACGAUAAUGACGGUACCUAACAAGAAAGCACCGGCUAACUACGUG
RNAcentral lists this ribosomal RNA (468 nucleotides) under uncultured bacterium. RNAcentral's name for it is "partial 16S ribosomal RNA". It matches the Rfam family "Bacterial small subunit ribosomal RNA", at positions 28 to 507 of the family's 1533-position model. The record is from RNAcentral.